This 548-nucleotide ribosomal RNA is filed under the name uncultured Glomeromycotina. Its description in RNAcentral is "SSU rRNA". It matches the Rfam family "Eukaryotic small subunit ribosomal RNA", at positions 548 to 1098 of the family's 1831-position model. The record is from RNAcentral. Lineage: Eukaryota; Fungi; Glomeromycota.
UUGGAGGGCAAGUCUGGUGCCAGCAGCCGCGGUAAUUCCAGCUCCAAUAGCGUAUAUUAAAGUUGUUGCAGUUAAAAAGCUCGUAGUUGAAUUUCGGGGUUAGUAGGUUGGUCAUGCCUCUGGUAUGUACUGGUCUCACUGAUUCCUCCUUCCUGAUGAGCCGUAAUGCCAUUAAUUUGGUGUUGCGGGGAAUUUGGACUGUUACUUUGAAAAGAUUAGAGUGUUUAAAGCAAGCUAACGCUUGAAUACAUUAGCAUGGAAUAAUGAAAUAAGACGUUCGAUCCUAUUUUGUUGGUUUCUAGGAUUGACGUAAUGAUUAAUAGGGAUAGUUGGGGGCAUUAGUAUUCAAUUGUCAGAGGUGAAAUUCUUGGAUUUAUUGAAGACUAACUACUGCGAAAGCAUUUGCCAAGGAUGUUUUCAUUAAUCAAGAACGAAAGUUAGGGGAUCGAGACGAUCAGAUACCGUCGUAGUCUUAACCAUAAACUAUGCCGACUAGGGAUCGGAUGAUGUUAAUUUUUUAAUGACUCAUUCGGCGCCUUACGGGAAAC